RNAcentral lists this ribosomal RNA (518 nucleotides) under uncultured Glomus. RNAcentral describes it as "SSU rRNA". It matches the Rfam family "Eukaryotic small subunit ribosomal RNA", at positions 569 to 1088 of the family's 1831-position model. Lineage: Eukaryota; Fungi; Glomeromycota; Glomeromycetes; Glomerales; Glomeraceae. The record is from RNAcentral.
CGCAGCCGCGGUAAUUCCAGCUCCAAUAGCGUAUAUCAAAGUUGUUGCAGUUAAAAAGCUCGUAGUUGAAUUUCGGGGUCAGUAGGUUGGUCGUGCCACUGGUAUGCACUGGUCUCACUGAUUCCUCCUUCCUGAUGAACCGUAAUGCCAUUAAUUUGGUGUUGCGGGGAAUCUGGACUGUUACUUUGAAAAAAUUAGAGUGUUUAAAGCAGGCUAACGCUUGAAUACAUUAGCAUGGAAUAAUGAAAUAGGACGUUCGAUCUUAUUUUGUUGGUUUCUAAGAUUGACGUAAUGAUUAAUAGGGAUAGUUGGGGGCAUUAGUAUUCAAUUGUCAGAGGUGAAAUUCUUGGAUUUAUUGAAGACUAACUACUGCGAAAGCAUUUGCCAAGGAUGUUUUCAUUAAUCAAGAACGAAAGUUAGGGGAUCGAAGACGAUCAGAUACCGUCGUAGUCUUAACCAUAAACUAUGCCGACUAGGGAUCGGAUGAUGUUAAUUUUUUAAUGACUCAUUCGGCGCCG